GCCCUGCCCCCCGCCCACCUGACUCUGCCGCGCCUCAGCUCCGGGCAGCCCGCCUCCCACCUGACCCCCCCCGCGCUGACACCGCCUCCUUCCGGUCACCUGACCAGGUCUCAGUCCAUCUCACUUGAUUUCCUUGCUGCGUCUCAGAGGACUUUCUUUCAUUGCACCUAUGUCCGAGAGAGGAGAUUUAAGGAAGAGGGGAUGGGCAGAGAGGGUAAAGAAGAUAAAGACAGGAAAGGAAAGAAAUGUUAUGAUUUCGAGGAGGGAAGAUUACAAGGAAUCUCCAUACACCUCUAGCAACAUCUGAUCCAGUCAUCUGUAAACCUGUUUCCUAAGGGGUUUCUGCUCUCAAAGAUAAACUUUUGAAUUCUC
Molecule: long non-coding RNA, 372 nt
Organism: Chelonia mydas (Green sea turtle)
Lineage: Eukaryota; Metazoa; Chordata; Testudines; Cheloniidae
Exons: 2
Source: RefSeq, a predicted model, not a curated record